ACAAUCUUUUUCUAUAUGCGUGCUCCGCGACGGAGAUUGGCGAUCAUCAAUGCAAUUUGGAUUCUAUUGACUGCAGCUCGGAACAGAGAUGUUGAGUCAAUGUUGAACCACUCUCUCAGGUUCCUUAUACAAUAAGCACAUUAUAAAAAUGAUAUUAUAAUGACAAUAUAAAAAUUCACACCGAAGAAGAAAGAAGUCUCAUUUCAAGAAGUGUGAUUGUACGAACGAAUGGUAUCCUUUCAAUGGUCGGCGCAUUGUCAGUUUGUCGCUGAGUAAAAAAAUAAAAAAUGAUCGUACCUACUUGUAUGUAGAUGUAGUGAUUUUUUUAAUUAUAAAGAUAACGCAAUUAGGCGACCUUAGUGUGGUGUCUGUGAGGUUAGGGAACGAGUUCAUUGUUUGUAAUAGAAGUUUUUGAUGUACAUGUUUUUAGAUGGUUUGAGGAAAUUGGAGCAUGCGGCUGUGCAAGAGUACGAGACGUACAUGAGUGGAGCUGCUCCACCUCAGUCUAGGCCCAGUGCGUACCUAGCACAAGACCGAAGAAUUAUUUCAGCCUCCAACCAGUUGUUGGCGGGAGACAUUGUUGUCUCGGAAUUCCUCCAUCUUGUGUGUCACACCAUUGACAAUGUGUACGAUCCACAAAGUGGAUUCUUAGGCCUAUCUGAUGAUGAACAAGAUGAUGAUGAGGUUGCUCCACCACCACCUCCUCCAGCAAAUCCUUUGAUGGCUCCAGUGCUAGGCGAAGGUGACGAGGUUGCCGCGGGUCAGAGGGGCGACCAACAAGAUCCUGCGCCAGCAGCAAGAGGUCGGAGACGUCAACGUGGAAGAGGACGAGGACGAGAUGGAGGACAAGUCGGAGGACGAGGACGAGAUGAAGGACGAGGCCGUGGUCGUGGCCGUGUCCGUGGUCGUCAACGUGGUGGACACCAACCUCUCGCCGGAAAUGACGAUCCUGCACAGGCACACAGCUAUUGUAAUGUGUGUCUCACACACAAUAACGAUAUGAUGGUCGCUUUGCCAUGUGGACACAUCUCCGUAUGUUCCAUGUGCCUCCCACAGUUGGUGCCACACGUGGAUGAAGGAGUAAGGUGCGUGUCGUGUAGGACACCCGUAACAGGUGGAUUCCACCGUGUAUUCUUUUAACAUUGUAUUAUAAAUAUUUUUUCCUAUAGUUGAAUGGAAAAGAGGCUUUUGUACACUAAUUACAGUAAGCAAAAUAGUAAAUAGGUUAUCCCAAACCAGAUCUUCUUUCCGCACGUUACGAUCUGCUGGCGGAAAGAAAAAUUAGAACAUAGCCGACUUUAUUAAGACUACUAGAGGUAGUCGUGGCCGUGGCACUCUAGUUUGUACUAGAAUAUUCAGGAUAUGUAUGAUAGUAGGAAUAAGACCUUUAAACGACACUGUCCAUAAAAUUGUGUGAGUUGAAUCCGUUUUAUUUUUGUAGAAUCGAAAUUGUAAUUACAUUAGAAUAAAAUUAUCAUUCUGAUAAUGUGAUAAUAGUUGGUAAAAUUAAUAGUAGUGUGAUAAUAGUAGUUAAAAUUAUCAUUCUGAUAAUGUAAUAAGAGUUGGUAGAUGAUGUGAGUAAGUAACUGUGUCUAAUUCCUCACAUUUAUGAGAAGUUAUCAGAGUUGCAUUUUGUUCACAUGUUCUAUCAUGACUUCAGGAAAGUUUGAACCCUUUGCAUUCUUAUAUUCAGUAAAGCUGGAUAUGACACUUAUCACUGCAGCUCUGAAUAUAAAAGACGGGUACCUGCCCACCUUUCUUGUGCACAGCUGUGUAAAAGAAUUAAUUUAAUCGACUCUACAGCCUGCAAAUUUUAGCAGUACUUUACAAAAUGUACCAAACUCCUAUAUUCAGGAUCCAAAUAUUUGAAUGUUGUGUUUAUUCUACAAAGCUCACUUUAACUUCAUCUCAUUCUCAAUUUCAUGCUCUUUGAGCCAAUACAAUAGAAAAAUAUCAUAUUUCAUUAAAUACCUUAUAAAUGAGCUCAUAUCAAAUUAUUUGUAGAAUUAAAAACUCCAAUUUCAAAUUAUUGAGAAAAAACAGAGCACACAAUUUUUCAACAUAGUAGAAUCUUCGAAUAACGCAAACGAUAAUAUGAAAAAUUAUAAUAGGUACAAGAAUAAAAGCUUUCUACUAGCAUUCUACAUUCGAGUAGCCUACUUAAGCUAGUAGUAGAUUUGAUUUUUAUUGUAAAAUAUAAUACUGUACAUACAUUUUUUUGUCUUGGAUUGGAAGUUUUCAAGAAAGACUCUAUUAAGUUAAUUUACUGCUUUUCACUUUUCGAAGGGAAAAGUGUAAAUUUCAAGUGAUAGCUUCCUAUAAUAGUGUCUGAUUAACCCCUUACUUUGUACUACGUACGGCGAGGUGGAACAAUCCUUGGGUCUCCCCGCCCUUCAAAGCCAUAAGCUAAUAAUAAUAAUAAAAUUGAAAUGUGUACUUAUAUUUUUUUGUAAUCAAUAAUUCCCAUUAUAAUCGAUCUUUAUUAUUCAUCAACUUACUAAUAAUUAAUCUUUCUUUUAAUAUUUCACUAGUAUAAUUAGGCCAGUAGGCCUACACACAUGAUUUUUCUUUGAGUACUAAUUGAUUCUUGACAACUAAAUAUCUCUAUAAUAGAUGGCUGUAUAUUUCCUACUUAGUUAAGAAGAAUCAUUUAUCAAAGAAAUAUGAAAUUUAAGAAGCAAUUAAGUAGAUUACUACUGCUUUUCAAUACUACAUAAAAUAUGCAAAUGAUAUUUAAUUUUGUCAAUUAAUAGUAUUAUUUUACCGUUGAUACAAUAAUAAUGUAACAUGCUAUGUCUAUAUGUCUAUAUAUAUAUAUAUAUAUAUAUAUAUAUAUAUAUAUAUAUAUAUAUAUAUAUAUAUAGCCUACUUUGUUUAAAAGUGAUAGAUUAUUUUGAUAAUUUUGUUUUCAGGCAAAUUUUUAAUACAGAACAAUUUUUAUAAAACUUGUAUUUAUUAUUUCUCAGUUUAUCCCUCUAUGAAAAACAAUCAAUAUAGUCAAUUUGAUCACUUGACAAGUAAAUCACUGAUCGAAACUUUGAACCUAUAUUCUGUCUUUUUGAAAAGCUUUUUAUUCCAUUCAAAUCUGGAAAAUCAGUGAAUACUAUAGAGUGAAUAUUAUAAUAAGUAGAAUUGAUCCCGUCAACCAUGUCCUAUUGUAGCCUAUUUACAACUAAUUUUCUUUGCAGAUGUGGUUGUGGUUUAAGAUUUGCAUCUGUGGAGAGAAAAAUUAUUUUAUUUUGUUUAAUUAUAGAGAAAAAACAAUAUUGAACAACAAGGUACAAUGGAUUAAUGUUAUAAGCCUCCAUAAGUGUAGGGGAAUGUCAGCUAGCCUUCAACUAGCUUGAAGCUUGCUUAACCCAACUGUCCAGUUGGAAGUGCAUUUGGUAGUGCUUAUUUUGGGACUACAUUUGGUAAGUGCAUUACAUAAUGGUGUUUCAUGUUUCAAAUUCAUGAACCAGUUACAUGCAUAGAUGUAACUAGAUAGAUAGAUUGAAUAGCAUUCACUGCUCACCUAAAUCAGGGGGAUCUGGAACUUGUCAAAAAAUCUAAAUGGUCGAACAAAAAAUACACAGCCCACAGUAACAAAUACACAACACACAGGGAAAGAAAACAUUAUACCAUUCAUGUGAAGUAAUGUUGAAUAUACUAUUCCUUUGAGUAAAAAGCACUUUUAGAGAAAUCUAUCUUUAAAACUUUCGAUGAGAUCUGAAGUUGCGUUCAUUCAUACUCUUCAUGAAAUCAGGUAAAAUAUUAUAUAAUUGGAUGCCAGAGCUUCUGUUGCAUAUUUUUCCAUUUUCAUCGAAAAAACACACUGGCGUCUGCCGAACGUAACUUUAUCACAAUGCAGCACCUUGCAUUUUCCUUUGAUGUCUCUCAAUAGAAUUUGUUGAACUAUUCAGUUGGAAAAAUAACUAGUAGUUCUGUGAACAGUAGACCUCGCGCAGUUAAAAACCACAGCCUCCAUCAGGGUGAAUUAUGUGCUGUUAUGACGUGACGUAUCGGCGA
Molecule: unclassified non-coding RNA, 4008 nt
Filed under: Nilaparvata lugens (brown planthopper)
Lineage: Eukaryota; Metazoa; Arthropoda; Insecta; Hemiptera; Delphacidae
Description: uncharacterized LOC120355061, transcript variant X5
Source: RNAcentral